ACGAACGCUGGCGGCAUGCCUAACACAUGCAAGUCGAACGAACCCUUCGGGGUUAGUGGCGCACGGGUGCGUAACGCGUGGGAACCUGCCUUUAGGUUCGGAAUAACUCAGAGAAAUUUGAGCUAAUACCGGAUAAUGUCUUCGGACCAAAGAUUUAUCGCCUUUAGAUGGGCCCGCGUUAGAUUAGAUAGUUGGUGGGGUAAUGGCCUACCAAGUCGACGAUCUAUAGCUGGUCUGAGAGGAUGAUCAGCCACACUGGGACUGAGACACGGCCCAGACUCCUACGGGAGGCAGCAGUGGGGAAUAUUGGACAAUGGGCGAAAGCCUGAUCCAGCAAUGCCGCGUGAGUGAUGAAGGCCUUAGGGUUGUAAAGCUCUUUUACUAGGGAUGAUAAUGACAGUACCUAGAGAAUAAGCUCCGGCUAACUCCGUGCCAGCAGCCGCGGUAAUACGGAGGGAGCUAGCGUUGUUCGGAAUUACUGGGCGUAAAGCGCGCGUAGGCGGCUUUUUAAGUCAGGGGUGAAAUCCCGGAGCUCAACUCCGGAACUGCCCUUGAAACUGGAUGGCUAGAAUACUGGAGAGGUGAGUGGAAUUCCGAGUGUAGAGGUGAAAUUCGUAGAUAUUCGGAAGAACACCAGUGGCGAAGGCGACUCACUGGACAGUUAUUGACGCUGAGGUGCGAAGCGUGGGGAGCAAACAGGAUUAGAUACCCUG
RNAcentral lists this ribosomal RNA (713 nucleotides) under uncultured Pseudomonadota bacterium. RNAcentral describes it as "bacterial SSU rRNA". It matches the Rfam family "Bacterial small subunit ribosomal RNA", at positions 29 to 789 of the family's 1533-position model. The record is from RNAcentral. Lineage: Bacteria; Pseudomonadati; Pseudomonadota.